Molecule: ribosomal RNA, 663 nt
Filed under: uncultured fungus
Lineage: Eukaryota; Fungi
Description: eukaryotic LSU rRNA
Rfam family: Eukaryotic large subunit ribosomal RNA
Source: RNAcentral
CCCGCUGAACUUAAGCAUAUCAAUAAGCGGAGGAAAAGAAACUAACAAGGAUUCCCCUAGUAACUGCGAGUGAAGCGGGAAAAGCUCAAAUUUAAAAUCUGUCAGUCUUUGGCUGUCCGAGUUGUAAUCUAGAGAAGUGUUAUCCGCGCUGGACCGUGUACAAGUCUCCUGGAAUGGAGCGUCAUAGAGGGUGAGAAUCCCGUCUUUGACACGGACUGCCAGGGCUUUUGUGAUGCGCUCUCAAAGAGUCGAGUUGUUUGGGAAUGCAGCUCAAAAUGGGUGGUAAAUUCCAUCUAAAGCUAAAUAUUGGCGAGAGACCGAUAGCGAACAAGUACCGUGAGGGAAAGAUGAAAAGAACUUUGGAAAGAGAGUUAAACAGUACGUGAAAUUGCUGAAAGGGAAACGCUUGAAGUCAGUCGCGUCAUCCAGGAAUCAACCUUGCUUUUGCUUGGUGUACUUUCUGGUUGACGGGUCUGCAUCAAUUUUGACCAUUGGAAAAAGAUUAAGGGAAUGUGGCAUACAUAGUGAUGUGUUAUAGCCCUUGGUUGCAUACAAUGGUUGGGAUUGAGGAACUCAGCACGCCGCAUGGCCGGGUUUUUAUUAACCACGAACGUGCUUAGGAUGUUGGCAUAAUGGCUUUAAUCGACCCGUCUUGAAACACGG